RNAcentral lists this ribosomal RNA (402 nucleotides) under uncultured bacterium. Its description in RNAcentral is "partial 16S ribosomal RNA". It matches the Rfam family "Bacterial small subunit ribosomal RNA", at positions 338 to 755 of the family's 1533-position model. The record is from RNAcentral.
CCUACGGGAGGCAGCAGUGGGGGAUAUUGCACAAUGGGGGAAACCCUGAUGCAGCGACGCCGCGUGGGCGAAGAAGGAUUUCGGUAUGGAAAGCCCUAUCAGCAGGGGAGAAGAAAGGACGGUACCUGAGUAAGAAGCAGCGGCUAAAUACGUGCCAGCAGCCGAGGUACUACGGAUGGUGAACGCGUUAUCCGGAUUUACUGGGUGUAAAGGGAGCGCAGGCGGCACGGCAAGCCUGAUGUGAAAGCCCGCGGCCCACCCGGGGGACUGCCUUGGGAACUACCGGGCUGGAGUGCCGGAGCGGUAGGCGGACUUCCUCUUGUAGCGGUGAAAUGCGUAGCUAUUACGCGGACCCCCGGUGGCGAAGGCGGCCUACUGGACGGUGACUGACGCUGAUGCUCG